GGAGCUGGGGCCGGCCUGGGACCAUGGGCGGUGAGUGCGGCGCGGGCCUGGGCCGGGGCGGUUGCCGUUGGGGCCGAGCAGCGCAGAGCCCUCUCCCGCACGGCCCCCGCACUCCCGCCGCUGGAUUCCAGCCGAGAUUCAAGCUCCCGGGAUCCCCCUUCCCGGGCGGUCCUGAGCCGGCUAGUCUCCAGUGAGUGCAAUCUACGGAUCAGUCUCUGAUGGUGGGUCGUUAACCUCAGUGGGGACUCCAAGAUUUCCAUGAAGAAAAUCAGUUGUCUUCAUUCAAGAAUUGGGGUCUGGCUCAGAAUUCCUGCAGCUGGUGAAAAUCUGUUUUCUAGAAGAGGUUUAAUUAAUGCCUGCAGUCUGCCCUGAGCUGUAGCCCCAGUCCCCUUUGACAUCACCCAUUUUCCAAUGGAGGAAGCUUCCAGGGAGACAGGGUACCACUUGGAGAGCCCCCAUGGCCACUUCAGAUUGCAGCCAUUGCCACUUCAUCUCACCUGAGGUGCUGAGGGGAGAGUCUAGCCUUGCAGGUAAACGACGGCCCAUUGGAGCCUCUCAACCUGGAGAUGCUGCAUGGCAGCCACGAGGAGGCACCCGUGAACCCAGAAUGAAUUUCAGGGUCCGCUCUGAGUCCAAAAGGCAGGAGGGCCCUGGCCAACUAACACCUAACUGAGCCACAGACUCUGGCCUGUUUAUCCUCCACCCUCAAAACCAGCAGGCUUCUCUGACCCUUUUUGGACUUUGGCUGGGGAAGCCACUGGCUUUUGGAAAAAGUUCAGUCUGCAGUGAUGGCGGGAACAAUCUCAGGAGUCUGGAAGAAGUUAAUGAUUAAAAAGGCAUGGAAGAAGAACUGGAUGGCGGCUUGGGGAGUAGUUUCUGCAGUCAGGAGGCACCCUUCACCUCAUUCCCUUGGCCCACAGUCAUCUGUGCAUGCGUCUGCCCCUCCCUCCAUCAGUGGAGCUCCCUCUGAGCUGCGUACUCGAGGGUGGAGGAGAGUUUGGGGGAACUCAAACAUGUGGUAGUAGAGACUGUAGUAACUUUAAAAUUCUCUUUGUAUUUGCAGAAUCAUUUCCCCAAUUUACACACUCAUGUUUCAGUUUACAGGGCAUCCUUUUGUCACCUGCUCGCCACCCUUAUGCCCCUGGGUGUGACCAGCUUCCUCAGAAAGAGCUGUAAUCAAUAGCAUAUUGAUUAAAAAGCAUAUUAAGAUGAAAA
RNAcentral lists this long non-coding RNA (1215 nucleotides) under Homo sapiens (human). RNAcentral's name for it is "HSALNT0061358". Lineage: Eukaryota; Metazoa; Chordata; Mammalia; Primates; Hominidae. The record is from RNAcentral.